UACGAAGGGGGCUAGCGUUGCUCGGAAUCACUGGGCGUAAAGGGUGCGUAGGCGGGUCUUUAAGUCAGGGGUGAAAUCCUGGAGCUCAACUCCAGAACUGCCUUUGAUACUGAAGAUCUUGAGUUCGGGAGAGGUGAGUGGAACUGCGAGUGUAGAGGUGAAAUUCGUAGAUAUUCGCAAGAACACCAGUGGCGAAGGCGGCUCACUGGCCGAUACUGACGCUGAUGCACGAAAGCGUGGGGAGCAAGCAGG
RNAcentral lists this ribosomal RNA (252 nucleotides) under uncultured bacterium. Its description in RNAcentral is "partial 16S ribosomal RNA". It matches the Rfam family "Bacterial small subunit ribosomal RNA", at positions 524 to 776 of the family's 1533-position model. The record is from RNAcentral.